GACGAACGCUGGCGGCGUGCUUAACACAUGCAAGUCGAACGGAGUGGCGAACGGGUGAGUAACACGUGGGUGAUCUGCCUUGCACUUCGGGAUAAGCUUGGGAAACUGGGUCUAAUACCGGAUAGUGCAAGAGGAGCUCGCGGCCUAUCGGCUUGUUGGAGGGGUAAUGGCCUACCAAGGCGUCGACGGGUAGCCGGCCUGCGAGGGUGUACGGCAACAUUGGGCCUGAGGUUCGGCCCAGAUUCCGACGGGAGGCAGCAGUGGGGAAUAUUGCACAAUCGGCGGAAGCCUGAUGCAGCGACGCCGGGUGGGGGGUGAAGGCCUUCGGGUUGUAAACUCCGUUCGACAGGGACGCGGUACCUGUAUAGGAAGCACCGGCUAACUACGUGCCAGCAGCCGCGGUAAUUC
RNAcentral lists this ribosomal RNA (408 nucleotides) under uncultured bacterium. RNAcentral's name for it is "partial 16S ribosomal RNA". It matches the Rfam family "Bacterial small subunit ribosomal RNA", at positions 28 to 526 of the family's 1533-position model. The record is from RNAcentral.